UUUAAAUGUUACAUUUAUAUUUUUGUUCAGUAUAAAUUAGAUAAUUUCAUUCUUUAUUUUUUUUUACUAGAGACAGUAACUAUAGCCUACUGGUAACAGUUUGGCUAGUUUCCGUUCACAACAAUUUCUUUGUUUUAUGUAAACCACCUUAGCUUCCCUAAUUUUUACAAUCCAGGGGUGAAUCAAUGGGCACAGAAUGGAUUAUCUCUGCAAUGUCCUCCUUAUUACUUGGUCCUUGUACAAAGGUCUCUAGCUUUUCCAUGAGACCUCCUCAAUAUUUUUCCGACCACAGCAGCAUUGGGGAAUUAUCAUGGUUAAACUAUGUGUCUUUGGGCCUUGUUUCUAACAUUUCUUCCACUAAAUUAUUAACAGCUAAUGCUACAGAUUCAGUGUAGUUUGGCACAAGUAGCAGUAUAGAAGUUAGCUAGUCUCACCACUUAACCCCCUGCUGUGCCACUUCUAUUUCACACUUUUCCUUCUGUAAUGAGUGCUUUGAUGCAAAAUUGCUUGUUUCCCUCCCCUCAUUAGGCCUAUGGAAAACUAAUAACAGGAAAAGUGACACUUAAUCUCCCUUGCUCUCACGCUAAUUGUCUCCUUCCUGUAAAUUGUCUCUCAACAAGAACCCUUUGAGGCUACCGAAAAUGGGUACAAACGAGAUUAUCCAGACUGCAUAAAGUAUCCAAACAGACACAUAUGCAAACAGAGGUGGCAUUUAGAUAGCCAUAAGUAAUUUGAAGUUUGUAUUGCCUCAAACCCGAUUCCAUGAGUAGACUUACGACUUCACUAAACAAACAAUUUGACAGUAUCUACUGCAUUUCAUUAUGUAUCGGAUAGGAGCAGACUUUUAACUACCGUGGCGAACAAACAUUUUUUUUAAAGCCUGGCGAAAGACUUUGCAGUGAUUCAGUAGGCUGCGAGAAACCACCUAUGGAGACACGCGUGCGCUUUGGUUUCUGGAAAUCCCGGGAUUCGCUGCUCGAGCGUCAAAGAUCAGCAUGGAUUUGAAAUGAAAGCUAUUGAAUGAGCCGUAUGUGAAAGUGAUCUAUAAAGUUUUGCUUUUUUAUUUGUUGUUGCCGAAUUACUACCACACGUUUGAUUAAUAUCACUAAAGGAUACCAGACUGAAGACGGAAAUUCGAGGGAACGUUUCUUUCUGGUAGACUACCAAUCGAGGGACCAUGAACUCCUCGGCAGGUGCAGGGAACUACCGAAGGGGCUCCACCAAGGGAGAGAAGGCCCCUACUCCACCACUACCACGGGUCGUUGUCCUGAUGGAAGGUGAACCUUCAACCCCGCCUGAAGUCCUGCGCGCUCUAGUCUCCCAGUCCCUACCACUGAAAAACAUCCCCACAACAUGAUGCUGCCACCACCAUGCUUCACCGUAGGGAUGGUUUCCUCCAGACGUGACGCUUGACAUUCAGGCA
Oncorhynchus mykiss (rainbow trout) is the source of this 1423-nucleotide long non-coding RNA. RefSeq lists it as uncharacterized. The record is from RefSeq and is a predicted model, not a curated record. Lineage: Eukaryota; Metazoa; Chordata; Actinopteri; Salmoniformes; Salmonidae.